RNAcentral lists this ribosomal RNA (254 nucleotides) under uncultured bacterium. RNAcentral's name for it is "partial 16S ribosomal RNA". It matches the Rfam family "Bacterial small subunit ribosomal RNA", at positions 524 to 776 of the family's 1533-position model. The record is from RNAcentral.
UACGUAGGGUGCGAGCGUUUGUCCGGAAUUAUUGGGCGUAAAGGGCUCGUAGGCGGUUUGUCGCGUCGGGAGUGAAAACACCGGGCUUAACUCGGUGCUUGCUUUCGAUACGGGCAGACUAGAGGCAUGCAGGGGAGAACGGAAUUCCUGGUGUAGCGGUGAAAUGCGCAGAUAUCAGGAGGAACACCGGUGGCGAAGGCGGAUCUCUGGGCCUGUCCUGACGCUCAGGCGCGAAAGCGUGGGGAGCAAACAGG